This 443-nucleotide ribosomal RNA is filed under the name uncultured bacterium. RNAcentral's name for it is "partial 16S ribosomal RNA". It matches the Rfam family "Bacterial small subunit ribosomal RNA", at positions 338 to 795 of the family's 1533-position model. The record is from RNAcentral.
CCUACGGGUGACUGCAGUGGGGAAUAUUGGGCAAUGGGCGCAAGCCUGAUCCAGCAACGCCGCGUGAAGGAAGAAGGCAUUCGGGUUGUAAACUUCUUUUAUCAAGGACGAAACAAAUGACGGUACUUGAGCAGUCAGUCACGGCUAACUACGUGCCAGCAGCCGCGGUAAUACGGAGGUGGCAAGCGUUAUCCGGAUUUACUGGGUGUAAAGGGCGUGUAGGCGGGACGGCAAGUCAGGUGUGAAAAACAUGGGCGUAACCCAUGGCCUGCAUUUGAAACUGUAGGUCUUGAGUGUUGGAGGGGCAGGCGGAAUUCCGUGUGUAGCGGUGAAAUGCGUAGAUAUUCGGAGGAACACCAGUGGCGAAGGCGGCCUGCUGGACAGUAACUGACGCUGAGGCGCGAAAGCGUGGGGAGCAAACAGGAUUAGAUACCCCUGUAGUC